Long non-coding RNA from Neofelis nebulosa (Clouded leopard), 787 nucleotides. RefSeq lists it as uncharacterized. The record is from RefSeq and is a predicted model, not a curated record. NCBI's taxonomy places the organism in Eukaryota, Metazoa, Chordata, Mammalia, Carnivora, Felidae. The transcript is spliced from 2 exons.
AUUCUCACGUAAUUCAAAACCCAAGUCUAGACUAAUUUUGUCAAGGGAAUAAAGGUAGAAAGGGGCGGGGCGGGAGCGCGGGCCACCUCCGCAUUUCCGACCCCACCCGCCUAGACAGGAAGCGGGCCUGCCUGCUGAGGUCCAGGACACAUGGCACCCACCUGCUUCUCCAGCACCAGUCUGGAUUUCCCGGAGAUUUUUGUAACCACUGAUCUUUGUUUUUAAGACUCCUUCCAGAGACUUUUGCUAACACGGCCAUAUAAUAUCCCACUGUGUAACCACACACCAGCCCUCCACUGAUGGGCAUUCGGUUGUUUCAGACUUUUUGCUGUUACGAGUAUCUCUGCAGUGAAGAGCCCAAUACACAUGCCUCGUAUAUACAACUGCCUCUGUGGAGACAUGUAGAAAAAUAGAUGCAUGGGUCACAGCCUCCACGUCAGCUUUCUCAGAACUCAAAAGAUCAACUUUCUCAAGGGCACGAACAGUGUUCGUUAUUUCAUCUAAGUAUCCUCGCUUAGACCGGUAAUGGCCUCCACAGUCAGCCAUAAAGAUGACAAAGACACAGUUCUGUCACGUAAGUUUCCUUCGGCACUGUGAACUUGUAUACUAGCUGAUGCAACGUCUUUGCCUUCUGAGUCCAAUACCUGAGCCUCCUCGGGGCAGUUUCUAUAGACUGUUUUUGUUCCUGAGUACGAGCCACACUUUCCCAUUUCUCUGGAUGUCUUGAAUUUUUUUUCAUUGCAGGUGGACACUGUGCCUAAUAAAAUGUGGCGACCGGGGAAAUCAG